AGUCGACGGCAACCGGAGCUUGCUCUGGUGGCGAGUGGCGAACGGGUGAGUAAUAUAUCGGAACGUACCCUGGAGUGGGGGAUAACGUAGCGAAAGUUACGCUAAUACCGCAUACGAUCUACGGAUGAAAGUGGGGGAUCGCAAGACCUCAUGCUCGUGGAGCGGCCGAUAUCUGAUUAGCUAGUUGGUAGGGUAAAAGCCUACCAAGGCAUCGAUCAGUAGCUGGUCUGAGAGGACGACCAGCCACACUGGAACUGAGACACGGUCCAGACUCCUACGGGAGGCAGCAGUGGGGAAUUUUGGACAAUGGGCGAAAGCCUGAUCCAGCAAUGCCGCGUGAGUGAAGAAGGCCUUCGGGUUGUAAAGCUCUUUUGUCAGGGAAGAAACGGUGAGGGCUAAUAUCCCUUGCUAAUGACGGUACCUGAAGAAUAAGCACCGGCUAACUACGUGCCAGCAGCCGCGGUAAUACGUAGGGUGCAAGCGUUAAUCGGAAUUACUGGGCGUAAAGCGUGCGCAGGCGGUUUUGUAAGUCUGAUGUGAAAUCCCCGGGCUCAACCUGGGAAUUGCAUUGGAGACUGCAAGGCUAGAAUCUGGCAGAGGGGGGUAGAAUUCCACGUGUAGCAGUGAAAUGCGUAGAUAUGUGGAGGAACACCGAUGGCGAAGGCAGCCCCCUGGGUCAAGAUUGACGCUCAUGCACGAAAGCGUGGGGAGCAAACAGGAUUAGAUACCCUGGUAGUCCACGCCCUNAACGAUGUCUACUAGUUGUCGGGUCUUAAUUGACUUGGUAACGCAGCUAACGCGUGAAGUAGACCGCCUGGGGAGUACCGU
Molecule: ribosomal RNA, 828 nt
Filed under: uncultured beta proteobacterium
Lineage: Bacteria; Pseudomonadati; Pseudomonadota; Betaproteobacteria
Description: bacterial SSU rRNA
Rfam family: Bacterial small subunit ribosomal RNA
Source: RNAcentral